AAGUCGUAACAAGGUUUCCGUAGGUGAACCUGCGGAAGGAUCAUUAAUGAAAUUAUGACUGGGGUUGUAGCUGGCCUAUAAAACGGCAUGUGCACGCUCCUUUCACAAUCCACACACACCUGUGCACCUUCGCGGGGGUCUUUUUUUCUCUUCGGGGGAAUAAAGGCUCGCGUCCCUUUACACACCCUUUGUAUGUCCUAAGAAUGUCUACUCGAUGUAAUAAAACGCAUCUAAUACAACUUUCAACAACGGAUCUCUUGGCUCUC
This 266-nucleotide unclassified non-coding RNA is filed under the name Stereum ostrea. Its description in RNAcentral is "partial internal transcribed spacer region". The stretch from base 1 to 46 matches the Rfam family "Eukaryotic small subunit ribosomal RNA", at positions 1786 to 1831 of the family's 1831-position model. Lineage: Eukaryota; Fungi; Basidiomycota; Agaricomycetes; Russulales; Stereaceae. The record is from RNAcentral.